RNAcentral lists this ribosomal RNA (490 nucleotides) under uncultured bacterium. Its description in RNAcentral is "bacterial SSU rRNA". It matches the Rfam family "Bacterial small subunit ribosomal RNA", at positions 28 to 476 of the family's 1533-position model. The record is from RNAcentral.
GACGAACGCUGGCGGCGUGCUUAACACAUGCAAGUCGAACGGGAGGAAAAGAGAAGCUUGCUUCUUUUUGAAUCUAGUGGCAAACGGGGUGAGUAACACGUAAACAACCUGCCUUCAGGAUGGGGGACAACAGACGGAAACGACUGCUAAUACCGAAAUGUGUUCCGGAGACCGCAUGAUUUCCGGAAGAAAGGAUGGCCUCUAUUUAUAAGCUAUCGCCUGAAGAGGGGUUUNCGUCUGAUUAAGCAGUUGGUGAGGUAACGGCCCGACCAACCUACGAUCAGUAGCCGGUCUCGAGAGGAUGAACGGCCACACUGGAACUGAGACACGGUCCAGACUCCUACGGGAGGCAGCAGUGGGGGAAUCUUCCGGCCAAAUGGACGAAAGUCUGACGGAGCAACGCCGCGUGAACGAUGAAGGUCUUCGGAUUGUAAAGUUCUGUGAUCCGGGACGAAGGCAUUGAUUGAGAAUAUUGAUUGAUGUUGACGGU